AUUUAAAUAUUUUAAGUUCCAACAAAUUGAUGCAAUCAAAAGUUUUGAGUUUUAAUAUAUAGGUAGAAUGUUGAAUGUGGUCCAUGUCAUUUAUUCAAGACAAUCUAUAAAGAUACAGUUGAUCUAUUCAAAAUGAUUAAUAACGAUAUGACCGAUCCAACUGUUAGGAUGUAUCUAGACACGUUCUUGAUGGACGGACGUGAUUAAACAUCCUAACAUUAGGAAAGUUCUUGUCACGCCACGCGACCGCCAAUUUGGUCGUUUCGGGCACGCCAACAGACGCCAAACGGACAUAACCUUCCCUAUCCGCCCUAGGCUCCACCCACCAACAACAUGUAUAGUAAUUCAUACAGAGAUAGAAUUCAAGUAUACAUGGCUUGCACGAGGGCAAGCAUCAACCACCACAAGUGAAAGUACUACUAGCUAUUACACCCACACAUGAUAUUUGAUUUCUUUUAACCAAAUACAAGCAUUCAACAUAUUACAUUCUUUUUCUACUUUACAUCACAUAACCCCAUAAUAAUUUACAUCAUUUAUACAUCAUCAUGGUAUACAAAAUAUGAAUACAACA
This 571-nucleotide long non-coding RNA is filed under the name Ananas comosus (pineapple). Its description in RNAcentral is "long non-coding RNA (ACOM_LNC018170)". The record is from RNAcentral. Lineage: Eukaryota; Viridiplantae; Streptophyta; Magnoliopsida; Poales; Bromeliaceae.